Molecule: long non-coding RNA, 4815 nt
Filed under: Brassica rapa (field mustard)
Lineage: Eukaryota; Viridiplantae; Streptophyta; Magnoliopsida; Brassicales; Brassicaceae
Description: long non-coding RNA (BRAP_LNC004718)
Source: RNAcentral
ACCAACCCAUUAUAAAAAAUUCAAAACUAUAAAAAGAGAAGAAUAGGUGAAGAAGCAAAAGCAUAUGACGUUCAAACUCUCCAAAUAAAUAAAACACAAAAGUGCGGCGAAUAGUUCUAAGAGUAUUCUGAAGAAGAGAAAAGAGGUUAAGAAAACUGGAACAAGAAAAUCAAAAUGUUUAAGCUUUGGCAGAGGCACGGCCGUAGAACUUGUUCUUUUCCUGGGUAGUCUGGAAUUUGCCAUGUCCCAUCUUUGAGGAAGUGUCGAUAAACUUGAGGUUGAUCUGCUCCAUGGCAAGACGGGAAGUCUGAGUGAGUAGUGACUGUCUAAGAGUCACAACCCUCUUCUUUGGACCCAUGCAGCAUCCCUUGAUCAUCAAGUAGUCAUCCUUCACCACACCAUAGUGUGCGAAUCCUCCCAUCGGAGUCACAUCCUUCUCGGUCCUAUCAUAGCCACAACAAUCAUCAGAUCAGUUACAUAAAACCAAAAUAGCAGAGAGUAAGUGAAACAGUAGAUAGAGAAAUUUCAACUGACCUGUCGUAUUCAGUCAUGGCAGUGUGCGUCUCCUGACCAACCUUGCCCAACCUGUAAAUCUUCUUGUUAAGUUCCGUACGGUGAUGGUAACCGUUCUGACCAGCUCUAGCCACAGUGUAGGAGACUCUAGCUGGAUGCCAUGCACCGAUACAAGCAACCUUACGCAGACCCCUGUGAGUCUUACGUGGAAGCCUAGUCACACCCCAACGAGUAACAACACCUUCGUAACCUUUACCCUUGGUCACUCCAAUCACAUCAAUCAUCUCAUCCUUCUGGAAAACAGCGUCAAUGGGAAUCUGCUUCUCAAAGAAGCUGUAGGCAAAGUCGACCUUCUGAGCAAUGGUACCACCGUUGAUCUGGAUCUCCAUCAUGUGAGCCUUCUUCUGCUUCAACCCCUUCAUCUUCCUGAUCUGAGUGUGGGCCAAGACACGGAUGACAGUUCCGUACUUCUUCAUCUUCUCGAGCUGAGACUGGAUGCUCUUCUUGCCUUCCUCGGUUUCGUACUGCUUGGCGUAGCCGGUGAAGGCCUUCUUCUUGGACUUGGCCCAGUUCUUGUAGAACCUUCUCCUGACCUCCUCGCUCAAGUGCUGUGCCCAGACGGUGUUGAGAGACCUCAGACCACGGGGGGUUUUGACGUAGGCAACAACACCGACGACCACCAUGGCGGGUGUCUCGAUGAUGGUAACAGCCUCGCAGGUCUCCUUCUUGUGAAGCUCUAUACAAGAUUACACAAGCAAACAAAAUAGUAUAAAUAAUGAAAUUUGAUUAAUAAUUUUUUUUUAAAAAAGAAUGAAUUAAAUGAGAGUGAAACUUACUGGAUCCGGGCUUCUCGACAUCUCUAACAAUGUGGGUUAUACCGGCCUUGUAUCCCAUGAAGGCUGUGAACUUGCAAGGCUUGCUUUGGUCAUCCUUAGGGAACGCCUUCACUGUUUUUUUUAAGUACAACAACAUUAAUUUGUAAAAGAAAAGACAACAAACUCCAAAGUAACUUACAUCCCAAUCAUAGUACUAAAAGUCGGAUUAAUUUUUUUAAUUUUCCAGAUAAUCACAAGUAGGGUUUCAAUGAAACGCAAAAAAUAAAUUUAAAUAUUUGAGGCGACUUUUUCAACGGUACGGUAAAUAUUUUAAAUAUUUUUUUCAUUCAACGCUUGCAAAUUAUAUUGUUGUCACAUUUUUAUGUUAUCUGUCACCACAGACGUAAUCGUUAAACACUAGAAUCAUGGACGUUUAUAACUUUUUUUCCCGGAAUGCGCACGUUUGAUUUGAGAAUUGGGAAUGUCGAGUGGCUUAUCCAGGUACGUACAAACACAGCCACCAUACAAACAUGCGAGAGGACCCGGACACGGUAGCUUCACGUUUUCGCACUUUGUCAGUUUUGUUCAUAUAGAUUAUCAAAAAUUAAAAAGGUAUGAUUUGCUUUCUGUUGUUGUCGUACCUUCAUAUAGAUUAUCAAAAAUAAAUAAAAAGGUAGUGAUUAUUUCUGAUAUAAAAUAAAACUAAAACUUCAACCAGAACUUGAAUUGUUUUCUUGGUUAAUGAAAAAACUGGACCCUCCUAGUUAACAUAAUUCAUUUGACAGAAAGAAACAUAUUGUAAUCUAAGGUUCAUAUUAUUUCAUACUAAAUGAAGAUAGCAUUUAUUUAAAAUGAUACAAAAUUGUACUCGUUAAUAUAUAUAAAACCCCAAUUGAAUACAUGAAAAUCACAUACAUGUUGUAGUCAUCAGAGAUAGUCAGAUAGAUGUAUAUAUAUUAUAUUUUAAUACAUUUUGAAAAUCAUAUAUUUGUAUACAAGCGAAGUACUUACAGAAGGCAUAUAGAAGGAACAUGAACAAGAAGAAGACUGGUUUUGCUGAAUUCAUCUCUAUACUUAAAUUACGAUAUACUAUUAUUGUUUCUGAAAUAUAAGCGAAAAUUUUCUCUGGUUAUUUAUGGCUUGUGAGUAUGAGGGUAACAUGAAUUAUAUAUUGCUUUUAUUUAGGGAAACAAACUUUUUGACACCAAUUUAUUAUUUUAUUCCAAACUUAACUUUUAUUAUUCUUAAUUACUAUUUUCACACAUAUUUGUUUCCUUUCAAGAAAUUUUUUCAUAAUUAUAAUAUACUUUACUUGAUUUUCCUAGAUAUUUUUUUACUUUCCACAGAUUUACUUGAAAAACUUAAUUAGUAUACAAAUUAAGAAGUUUUAAUUUGAUUUAAAUUACUUGUGGCCAAUUUUUUAAGUUGUAUACUAAUUAAGUUUUAUACAACUGAAUUAGUAACAAAUUUGCUUUAGUUUGUUUUACGCAUAUUAAGAAAAUGUCUUCACUUUUUUAUUAUAAAUGUAUUGUUUUCUCUAUUUAGUGGUUUACAAUAGUUUGGACCAAUUGUCUUUUAAUAUGUGAUUUUAUUUUUGAAUUUUUAAGUUAUUAACCAAUAAAAAUUGCAUAGGAACACAUAAGACAUAUAUCUUUUUGAAAACAAGUUUAGAGAGAAAAAAAAAACAUUUAUCUUGCUGAAACAUGAGGAGUAUUGAAUAAAAUCCCAAUAAAAUAUAUUAUAUAUCAAAGUAAUACACCUUGUCUUAUGCUCAAUAAUAGACCUACAAUAUUUAGACAUUAAUUAUUAAAAUGAGUUAGCAUAUAUCAUACAACAUAUUAUACCAUGUCAUCUUACAUUAUAUAAUUCUAAAUAUUUACAAAAUCAAUUUGAGUAAAACACUUUUGCAAACCAUAUGUUCAAAACAAAAUUAUAUAUAUUAUGUAAAUAACUUUUAUAAGAAGUAUUUAUAAUAAAAAAUGUAUCUUAUUUAAAUCUAACCAACUCAAUAAAUGUAAUUCUUAUAAAUGUGUACAAAAUAUAACGAGAGAGUAAGCAUGGGAAUUCGGAUCUUUGAUGGGGUACAGAUCGAUUUUUUUCGGGUUUUAGAGAAAUUUUUGGUUUGUGUUCGGUUCAGUUCAUUUCGGAUCCGGGUGGGUUCUAGUCCAUUAUAUAAAUACUUGUAACGUACCUGCAAAUUUUAGUUAUGUAACGGGCUGGAUUGGUUCGGAUAUUCAAAAUACCUGAAAACACAAAAAUAUUCAAAACACAAAGAAAUAUCAAAAAAAAUCAAAUACUCAAAAAUAUCCAAAAUUUUAUAAGAAAUCUAAUCCGAGUAACCAAAAAAACACCCAAAUUUUAUCUGAAUACCUAAGAUAUAUUUUAAAAUUUUUGAAGUUCUAUCUAAAACCAAAACUAUAACCGAAAACUCAAACCAAAAACUUAAAAAGUAGAUAUAAUGCCAAAAAAACAUAUCUGAAAUACACAUAUAUACCUAAUAUAUAAAAAAAUAUUUGGGUCCUUUAUGUACCGGAUCCUAGACUCGAACAGAGACCCAUGGGUCAAAAAAAUAUAAAAUAGGUAUAUUCCCUAAGCAAACAUGUAUUUUAGGUUUGUUUUUUUUUAAACGUUUACUAGAUUUUGAUCAGAUUUUCGGAAACGUGGAUUUUUUUGAUUAAAUAUUUAAUUCAGCAUAUUUUUAUAGGACAUAUAUUGUAUUUUAACAUGUAUUAAAAAUAUAUCAAAUUUUGAUUAUAAAUACACCAUUUUUAUUAAUUAGUUUAUUUUCACAAUUUUAUACUAAUAAAAAAUCAAAAAACACAAAUAAUAUUUAUAGAAGUUAAUGAAACACCAUUAUUAACUAAUAAACAUAUAUAAAAUGUAAAAAUGUACUUUCCAAAUAGUAUUUUUAAAUAAAUUUGAUUUUCAUAAAUAUUUAUUCAGGCUAGCUCAGUAUUUCUUAGUUUUAUGAUCAAGCCAGGCUUUCAUAAGUAGACUGGCUCACACAUAUAUUAUCAAUUUGCAUAAACAAAGUUGUCAUCUCAACUUAACCUACAGGUUAUCAAAAAUUAAAACUUAUAAAAUGAUAAGAACAGAUGAAGAAAAGCAUAUGACGUUCAAACUCUCCAAAUAAAUAAAACACAAAAGUGCGGCGAAUAGUUCUAAAGAGUAUUCUGACGAAGAGAAAAGAGGUUAAGAAAACUGGAACAAGACAAUCAAAAUGUUUAAGCUUUGGCAGAGGCACGGCCGUAGAACUUGUUCUUUUCCUGGGUAGUCUGGAAUUUGCCAUGUCCCAUCUUUGAGGAAGUGUCGAUAAACUUGAGGUUGAUCUGCUCCAUGGCAAGACGGGAAGUCUGAGUGAGUAGUGACUGUCUAAGAGUCACAACCCUCUUCUUUGGACCCAUGCAGCAUCCCUUGAUCAUCAAGUAGUCAUCCUUCACCACACCAUAGUGUGCGAAUCCUCCCAUCGGAGUCACAUCCUUCUCGG